GGUUUCUUGUUUAUUUAGGAAAUUUGGCCUGCCCACUGAUUUAUUUUUAAGGGCCGCAGUAUAUUGACUGUGCAAAGGUAGCAUAAUCAUUAGUCUUUUAAUUGAGGGCUGGUAUGAAUGGUUGGACGAGAUAAAUUCUGUUUCAUAAAAAAUAAAUUGAAUUUUAAAUUUAAGUAAAAAGACUUAAAUUUUGUUAAGGGACGAGAAGACCCUAUAGAGUUUUAUAUAUUGUAUUUAAGUUGAGGUUUAUUAAGUUAUUUAUUACUUUUAUUUAUAUAUAUUUAAUUGGGGUGAUUGAGAGAUAAGUUUAACUCUUUUUUGGUUUAAAUAAUUAUAAUUAUUUUUUUUGAUCCAUUAUUAUUGAUUAUAAGAUUAAAUUACCUUAGGGAUAACAGCAUAAUAUUCCUUGAGAGUUCUUAUUGAAAGGAAAGAUUGUGACCUCGAUGUUGGAUUAAGAAAAAUAUUGGGUGUAGUUGUUCAAUUAUUAGGUCUGUUCGACCUUUAAAAUCUUACA
This 514-nucleotide ribosomal RNA is filed under the name Entelloptera rogenhoferi. Its description in RNAcentral is "partial 16S ribosomal RNA". It matches the Rfam family "Bacterial large subunit ribosomal RNA", at positions 1832 to 2600 of the family's 2925-position model. Lineage: Eukaryota; Metazoa; Arthropoda; Insecta; Mantodea; Chroicopteridae. The record is from RNAcentral.